This 404-nucleotide ribosomal RNA is filed under the name Lachnospiraceae bacterium. RNAcentral's name for it is "bacterial SSU rRNA". It matches the Rfam family "Bacterial small subunit ribosomal RNA", at positions 355 to 776 of the family's 1533-position model. Lineage: Bacteria; Bacillati; Bacillota; Clostridia; Lachnospirales; Lachnospiraceae. The record is from RNAcentral.
UGGGGAAUAUUGCACAAUGGGGGAAACCCUGAUGCAGCGACGCCGCGUGAGCGAAGAAGUAUUUCGGUAUGUAAAGCUCUAUCAGCAGGGAAGAAAAUGACGGUACCUGACUAAGAAGCCCCGGCUAACUACGUGCCAGCAGCCGCGGUAAUACGUAGGGGGCAAGCGUUAUCCGGAUUUACUGGGUGUAAAGGGAGCGCAGGCGGUCCUGCAAGUCUGAUGUGAAAGCCCGGGGCUCAACCCCGGGACUGCAUUGGAAACUGUGGGACUUGAGUGUCGGAGGGGCAAGUGGAAUUCCUAGUGUAGCGGUGAAAUGCGUAGAUAUUAGGAGGAACACCAGUGGCGAAGGCGGCUUGCUGGACGACAACUGACGCUGAGGCUCGAAAGCGUGGGGAGCAAACAGG